Molecule: unclassified non-coding RNA, 520 nt
Filed under: uncultured Glomus
Lineage: Eukaryota; Fungi; Glomeromycota; Glomeromycetes; Glomerales; Glomeraceae
Description: SSU rRNA
Rfam family: Eukaryotic small subunit ribosomal RNA
Source: RNAcentral
AGCAGCCGCGGUAAUUCCAGCUCCAAUAGCGUAUAUUAAAGUUGUUGCAGUUAAAAGCUCGUAGUUGAAUUUCGGGGUUAGUAGGUUGGUCAUGCCUCUGGUAUGUACUGGUCUCACUGAUUCCUCCUUCCUGAUGAACCUUAAUGCCAUUAAUUUGGUGUUUUGGGGAAUUUGGACUGUUACUUUGAAAAAUUAGAGUGUUUAAAGCAAGCUAACGCUUGAAUACAUUAGCAUGGAAUAAUGAAAUAGGACGUUCGAUCCUAUUUUGUUGGUUUCUAGGAUUGACGUAAUGAUUAAUAGGGAUAGUUGGGGGCAUUAGUAUUCAAUUGUCAGAGGUGAAAUUCUUGGAUUUAUUGAAGACUAACUACUGCGAAAGCAUUUGCCAAGGAUGUUUUCAUUAAUCAAGAACGAAAGUUAGGGAUCGAAGACGAUCAGAUACCGUCGUAGUCUUAACCAUAAACUAUGCCGACUAGGGAUCGGAUGAUGUUAAUUUUUUAAUGUACUCAUUCGGCGCCUUACG